GUUUGAUAUAAUGUCUUUUCUGUUUGCAGAUAUUAAUCAGAUUAACGUUAGCUCCCUCAUGUUCAGUCACUGCAUUAUAUCUGUCACCUCCGCUGAGGUUUUGCUUUUCAUUGCUUUCUAUAUUAAAUACUAAACUAGGGUGAUUAAACACUGUCACGUGACGUGCAAUAUAUUGCACAAUAUAUAUAACAUAUUCAUAUCAGGUUCAAAGUAGUACAAGUGUAGUUUCAAAAUGGUAUUUGUAGUAGAAGCACGGUAAAAAACAACACUUACCAUGCUUUUUACCACAGUAUUGGUAGUUUUAAUGUGAUUUUUGUUGUAAAUACAGAGUAACCACAACACUUAUCAUGCUUUUAAUGCCUAAUAAUGUUAAAUCCAAAAACUGUAAGGUCAAUAAGAACUUCUUUCCUAUAUAUAUUUAUAUAUAAACCUAUAUAUUAUAAAUAAUGAUAUUUUCUUUUCUCUUGUUUUAGCUGAAAAGACAAAAAGGGCCUUUCGGAAAUGGAUGAAGGAGACAGAAAGCUGCAAAGGCAAAUAAUUGCAAUGGAUUACUUGCAGAUUACUUAGUCCUUCUUUUUAGGAUCUCAACAACAUCAAACUCAACAGCUCUUUUAAGAGCCGACCCUCACAAGAGCUACUAGUGAGUCGCUGCAAACCUGCCGUGAUCAGCCCUUUCCAGAGAAGGAAGACCAGUCCUUAUAUCAAAGCAAGCUCAUCGAAGUCCUUUGUUUAGGGUGAGGAAGGAACAUGACCAUCUAAUGCCCAAAGAAGACAGAAGUCCAUUGAUAGCAAGUGAAGUCACUAACAGAAGAUCCUAGAGGAAAAACGACUGAUGUGCAGCUACGGAGGGACACAAGAGGCAGAAACGAUGCAUGGCCAUGGCUUCUUGAUGAGUACG
Long non-coding RNA from Megalobrama amblycephala (Wuchang bream), 898 nucleotides. RefSeq lists it as uncharacterized. Lineage: Eukaryota; Metazoa; Chordata; Actinopteri; Cypriniformes; Xenocyprididae. The record is from RefSeq and is a predicted model, not a curated record. The transcript has 4 exons.